Molecule: long non-coding RNA, 553 nt
Organism: Trachemys scripta elegans
Lineage: Eukaryota; Metazoa; Chordata; Testudines; Emydidae
Exons: 3
Source: RefSeq, a predicted model, not a curated record
CAUUAUCCAGCCCCAUUUAAAAUCUAGCUGAAGAAACACUUUGAAACAAAGAAUAUUAGUGAGCAUCAAACAGCACUGGAAUUCCUGUAGCAUUACACACAACUAGGGGGAAGUACUAAUUUGUGGAGGAAUGAAAGAAAUCUGCCAGGAGAUAUUUAAAAGUGUCCCACAAUCUGGAAUAUGGAUUAAUCACUGCAGUACCCAAGGAAACCCACACCAAGUAGGACACAAAACCAACAGAAAAUGGGAAAAAGAGGACCUAAUUGGAGAACUGCACUCAGAGCCCAGCUGCUGGAUAAAGCAUCUAUGGAUGUCCCCACAUCUUCCCCAGAACAACAUACAGUAAAAAUAUGACAAAGCAGGCACAGGUGAUGGAUCUUCUGGUAGAAGACAAGAACCUGAAUGGAAACCUGAAUGAACACUUUUGCAAUCUACAAGGAGUACGAUUCUUUUUUCCUGAGAAAGAGGCGGUUCUAUGAAUGGAGGCAAGAUUUUAAAAAGAUUGUCUCCUUCCAACCCGUUCACAUGAAGCUACAAUUCAAAGACUGCAAUU